CUUCAGUCACCAGGUGAGUGGGAUAAUUCCCUAAGUUUUUAAGUAAGGUAAUUGAAUGAAUAAAUGAACAAAUGAAUGAAUCUGAAAGCAUACUCAUGCAUCAUUAAUGCCAUGCAAUGUUCCAGGAUGUUUGCAUUAGAAAUUCACGAAUAUGUUGCAUUGCAUAAUUUGAUGUUGAUGUGGAUGGUUGUUGGGUGAUCCAUAGUCCUCUGAUGUUAUGUUAUGUUAUGUUAUGUAAGAGAAAGACCAGCGAGGCCCAUUCUACGCCCCUGGCACUU
RNAcentral lists this long non-coding RNA (278 nucleotides) under Manihot esculenta (cassava). Its description in RNAcentral is "long non-coding RNA (MESC_LNC001088)". Lineage: Eukaryota; Viridiplantae; Streptophyta; Magnoliopsida; Malpighiales; Euphorbiaceae. The record is from RNAcentral.